RNAcentral lists this non-coding RNA (28 nucleotides) under Mus musculus (house mouse). Lineage: Eukaryota; Metazoa; Chordata; Mammalia; Rodentia; Muridae. The record is from RNAcentral.
UGAAGUUUAAGCGUGGUAGCCUUCCCCC